UACAGAGGGUGCGAGCGUUGUUCGGAAUUAUUGGGCGUAAAGAGCGCGCAGGCGGUCGAUCAAGUCGCGUGUGAAAGCCCCCGGCUCAACUGGGGAGGGUCACGCGAUACUGAUCGACUCGAAGGCAGGAGAGGGUAGUGGAAUUCCCGGUGUAGUGGUGAAAUGCGCAGAUAUCAGGAGGAACACCAGUGGCGAAGGCGGUGAUCUGGGCCGAUACUGACGCUGUAGAGCGAAAGCGUGGGGAGCGAACAGG
This 253-nucleotide ribosomal RNA is filed under the name uncultured bacterium. RNAcentral's name for it is "partial 16S ribosomal RNA". It matches the Rfam family "Bacterial small subunit ribosomal RNA", at positions 524 to 776 of the family's 1533-position model. The record is from RNAcentral.